This 502-nucleotide ribosomal RNA is filed under the name uncultured bacterium. RNAcentral's name for it is "partial 16S ribosomal RNA". It matches the Rfam family "Bacterial small subunit ribosomal RNA", at positions 30 to 523 of the family's 1533-position model. The record is from RNAcentral.
AUUGAACGCUGGCGGCAUGCCUUACACAUGCAAGUCGAACGGCAGCACGGGUGCUUGCACCUGGUGGCGAGUGGCGAACGGGUGAGUAAUAUAUCGGAACGUGCCCUAGAGUGGGGGAUAACGUAGCGAAAGUUAGGCUAAUACCGCAUACGAUCUACGGAUGAAAGUGGGGGAUCGCAAGACCUCAUGCUCCUGGAGCGGCCGAUAUCUGAUUAGCUAGUUGGUGGGGUAAAAGCCUACCAAGGCGACGAUCAGUAGCUGGUCUGAGAGGACGACCAGCCACACUGGGACUGAGACACGGCCCAGACUCCUACGGGAGGCAGCAGUGGGGAAUUUUGGACAAUGGGGGAAACCCUGAUCCAGCAAUGCCGCGUGUGUGAAGAAGGCCUUCGGGUUGUAAAGCACUUUUGUCAGGAACGAAACGGUGGGGGCUCAUACCUCCUGCUAAUGACGGUACCUGAAGAAUAAGCACCGGCUAACUACGUGCCAGCAGCCGCGGUAA